This 372-nucleotide ribosomal RNA is filed under the name uncultured organism. Its description in RNAcentral is "bacterial SSU rRNA". It matches the Rfam family "Bacterial small subunit ribosomal RNA", at positions 526 to 896 of the family's 1533-position model. The record is from RNAcentral.
CGUAGGGGGCAAGCGUUGUCCGGAAUCAUUGGGCGUAAAGCGCGUGUAGGCGGUCCGGUAAGUCGGCUGUGAAAGUCCAGGGCUCAACCCUGGGAUGCCGGUCGAUACUGCCGGACUAGAGUUCGGAAGAGGCGAGUGGAAUUCCCGGUGUAGCGGUGAAAUGCGCAAAUAUCGGGAGGAACACCAAUGGCGAAGGCAGCUCGCUGGGACGUUACUGACGCUGAGACGCGAAAGCGUGGGGAGCAAACAGGAUUAGAUACCCUGGUAGUCCACGCCGUAAACGAUGGGCACUAGGUGUGGGAGGUGUCGACUCCUCCCGUGCCGGAGCUAACGCAUUAAGUGCCCCGCCUGGGGAGUACGGCCGCAAGGCUA